UACGUAGGGUCCGAGCGUUGUCCGGAAUUAUUGGGCGUAAAGAGCUCGUAGGCGGCUUGUCACGUCGAUUGUGAAAGCCCGAGGCUUAACCUCGGGUCUGCAGUCGAUACGGGCUAGCUAGAGUGUGGUAGGGGAGAUCGGAAUUCCUGGUGUAGCGGUGAAAUGCGCAGAUAUCAGGAGGAACACCGGUGGCGAAGGCGGAUUUCUGGGCCAUUACUGACGCUGAGGAGCGAAAGCGUGGGGAGCGAACAGG
Molecule: ribosomal RNA, 253 nt
Filed under: uncultured bacterium
Lineage: Bacteria
Description: partial 16S ribosomal RNA
Rfam family: Bacterial small subunit ribosomal RNA
Source: RNAcentral